This 418-nucleotide ribosomal RNA is filed under the name uncultured eukaryote. Its description in RNAcentral is "bacterial SSU rRNA". It matches the Rfam family "Eukaryotic small subunit ribosomal RNA", at positions 592 to 997 of the family's 1831-position model. The record is from RNAcentral.
CAAUAGCGUAUAUUAAAGUUGUUGCAGUUAAAAAGCUCGUAGUUGGAUUUCUGGUCUGAUGCCCUGGCCCGCGUCUUAUAGAUGUGUGUGCCGGCUGUGCGUCUGCCAUCCUUCUAGUAACCCUUCCUACCCUUCACUGGGCCGGGUUGGCGAUCUAGAUCUUUUACUUUGAAAAAAUUAGAGUGUUUAAAGCAGGCUUUUGCUAUGAAUACAUUAGCAUGGAAUAAUAAUCUAGGACUUCGGUUUUAUUUUUGUUUGGUUUUCUUAACACUGAAGUAAUGAUUGAUAGGGAUAGUUGGGGGUUGGCUAGUAUUGGCCGGCCACGAGGUGAAAUUACUUGGAUUCGGUCAAGACUAACUUAUUGCGAAAGACAUUCACCAAGGAUGUCUUCUUUAAUUCAAGAACGAAAGUUGGGGGA